This 440-nucleotide ribosomal RNA is filed under the name uncultured bacterium. RNAcentral describes it as "bacterial SSU rRNA". It matches the Rfam family "Bacterial small subunit ribosomal RNA", at positions 958 to 1392 of the family's 1533-position model. The record is from RNAcentral.
AACGCGAAGAACCUUACCUGGGCUUGAUAUCCUUGGAAUCUUGUAGAGAUAACAAGAGUGCUAGUUUACUAGAACCAAGAGACAGGUGCUGCACGGCUGUCGUCAGCUCGUGUCGUGAGAUGUUGGGUUAAGUCCCGCAACGAGCGCAACCCUCGUGAUUAGUUGCUAACAGUUUGGCUGAGCACUCUAAGCAGACUGCCGUAGAUAAUACGGAGGAAGGUGGGGACGACGUCAAAUCAUCAUGCCCCUUAUGACCUGGGCUACACACGUGCUACAAUGGUCUGAANCAGAGGGUUGCGAAGCCGCGAGGUGAAGCUAAUCCCUUAAAACAGAUCCCAGUUCGGAUUGCAGGCUGCAACUCGCCUGCAUGAAGUUGGAGUUGCUAGUAAUCGCGAAUCAGAAUGUCGCGGUGAAUGCGUUCCCGGGUCUUGUACACACCG